RNAcentral lists this ribosomal RNA (109 nucleotides) under Scophthalmus maximus (turbot). Lineage: Eukaryota; Metazoa; Chordata; Actinopteri; Pleuronectiformes; Scophthalmidae. The record is from RNAcentral.
GCUUACGGCCACACCGCUGGUCAUACGCUUGAUCUCGGAAGAUAAGGUAGGUUGGGCCUGGUUAGUACUUGGAUGGGAGACCGCCUGGGAAUACCAGGUGCUGUAAGCU